RNAcentral lists this long non-coding RNA (1646 nucleotides) under Anas platyrhynchos platyrhynchos (common mallard). Its description in RNAcentral is "lncRNA (ENSAPLG00000028435.1)". The record is from RNAcentral. Lineage: Eukaryota; Metazoa; Chordata; Aves; Anseriformes; Anatidae.
AUGCGGGAGACCUUGUUCAUGUACUUUGUACAACAUGCAGUGCUGAUCCUGGCCUGCCAUCAUGAGGAGCUUACGAUUAACGUCAUCCUCCAGAAGUUUGUGCCUAUGGACAGAAACACACUGGAGCUGUGGAGGACUCUGGGGAGAGACAGCAUUGGCAUCGGUGUGCUGAAGCGCUUAUCGAGGAAGCUGAAGAGAGUGGGAGACGACAGCUCCCAGCCCAGCUCGUCCAGUUGCAGGCUGCACACCCACCAGCUUUCAGUGGAGUCCUUGACUGUACGUUCAGUGGCAGAGGCUUUGCGUCUGCUCCCCCACUCCCAGUGCGAGGGCAAGGCGUUGUAUGCCCUUCGGAAGUGUAAGGGUUGCCCUUUGCAGCAUAAGUGCCCUUGGAGCUUGCACCCAAAGCCACAGAAAGCUGCAAGGCAUUCUGCCACUCCUGCCUGCUCAGCGGCUGCCAGGCAUCUCUGCAGAUCCCCCCUAAAAGUGUUCCAGCGAGCCUUCCGCUGUGCUGCCCAGGGCAGUCUUUACCAGCAUCGCUGGCAGGAGCAUCUCAGGCCUCUGGUCCCUUUUUCUGGCCACGCGCCUUCAUGCCUGCCUUUACUUCCCAGAGCUGGUGCUUCCCUGGAAGCUGGCAGUAGGGAGCAAGCCCAUGGAUCCAGCCACCAGGCAUCAGGAGUCUAUGCUGCAGAGCUUGUUCAUGUACUUCCUGCACCAUGUGGUGCUGAUCCUGGCCCGCUAUCACAAGCAGCUCACAAUUUUUGGAGUCUUUAUACACUUAAGGCUUAAUUUUUCUUGAUGGAUAACUUGGAUUAAAGUUAGGAAUGGAUUUGAAAAAUUACCCUAGAAUACUGUGUUUAUGUGCUACAGAAUUGCCACAAUGGCUUAUCUUAAACCAUUUUCAAAAAUGGACCAUAUUAAACCAGAUGUGGCACUUUUAUCCUGGAACAACAGUGUUCACAGAUGAAUUAUUUACAGACUGCUGUUCUGGAAAAGCUAUUCUUGAGUAAGUAUUCCUGAGAAACUCACAUAUAGACAAGAUUUUCUGCUGAUGUUCUUCAUAAUUCACUCAUCACUCACAAAAUUUAGUGUAACAGCAGUCAGGAAGCAGGGGUGAAAAGAACCACAAACCUCACUUGAUAUGCUAUGUGGGUUGUUCUUCUUGCAAGCAGCUUAGAUGUUCCGUUACGGCCAUUAAAAUUUUAUUAAAAUGCAUGAGAGACAUACAUUAUAAACCAGUAAAAAAAAAAUCAAUUGAUAUUCCAUAUCAAUUGAGAGUUAUUUAUGCACCUCUCCUCCCAGUCACACACACACACACUGAGAAAAAAGACCCCUCAAAAAUUAGUAAUUUAGGAAGGAAAGGAAAAUAUUUUCAUACUGUACUGAAAAAUUGAUUAAGCGGUUAAUUUUGGAUCUAGACCUUCUGCCUAGAAAUCCAGCCAGUUCCAAACAGUGCUGGCUUAGCUCCUUGACACUGUGGUGCUAAUAACUUUUCCUGACACUGCAUACUUUGAAGGCAAAAUGAAUGGCCUUCACACAAUAGCUCAAGGAAGAAUGAGAAUAACCCAUAAAUAUUUUAAGUGUAGUGAUAGUAAGGAAGAAUAACCUUUUAGAAUAAAUACAGUGGUGUGACUGGAGUGAAUAGGAAG